Molecule: transfer RNA, 88 nt
Filed under: Fodinibius salsisoli
Lineage: Bacteria; Pseudomonadati; Balneolota; Balneolia; Balneolales; Balneolaceae
Description: tRNA-Leu
Rfam family: tRNA
About the family: Transfer RNA (tRNA) molecules are approximately 80 nucleotides in length. Their secondary structure includes four short double-helical elements and three loops (D, anti-codon, and T loops).
Source: RNAcentral
GCCCAAGUGGCGGAACUGGUAGACGCGCUAGCUUCAGGAGCUAGUGGGAUUUUAUCCCGUGAAGGUUCGAAUCCUUUCUUGGGCACCA